Molecule: small RNA, 765 nt
Filed under: Rattus norvegicus (Norway rat)
Lineage: Eukaryota; Metazoa; Chordata; Mammalia; Rodentia; Muridae
Description: uncharacterized LOC102553821
Source: RNAcentral
CUUGGACCCCUCAAAAUAUCCAAUUCCCCACGGUUCAGAAGGGCCUAGAGAACUUGCAGGACAGACAUCUUACUGUUGAAGAGAGGCAGAGGUUCCGAUUCCCAGUCUGAGGGCUGCGAUUCACCUAGGGCCACGCAUCAGUAACAAGCAGAGGUAGAGGGACACGUGUAUCCAGGAGUUUUGCAGCUUCUUUUCAGCAGGCAGCAACUGCCAUUACCAUACAAAGCCUCUAGGGGGUGCAAUUUGCCUUACAGUCCUUGGUGAGACAAGUUAUGAAUUUCAUGAGCUUUGGUACAACGGUGAAGAAAAUAAAAAUGCUAUUUUGAGAGCAUGCUGUUGUUUGAAAUCAUGAAAAAGAUGCAGGCAAUAAACUAACGAGGACUCAUGGACUACUAUGCAACCAUUUAAAAGAAUGAAGUCAUUCUCUGUAGGGGCUCUGAGACACCAUCCAGGAGGAGGGAGCAGGCUCACGAAGCACAAAACGAAGCUACAAGAACUUGGAUUGAUUGCCUCUGGAGAGAGUAUACAACUCACGUGCAUUUAAAAUACUUUUAUUGUUGUAUUAAACAAUAAUAAACAAAAGUGGCUGUGCUCGGAAUAGAAUGUCCUAGGAAGACAAACAGGUCCAUCAAGAGAACUGCUGUUGUGUGCUGUGUUUAGAAAGUCACCCAGAGAGGCUGCCUGGAUGCAUUCUAGAAGCAAGGCCUGUUUCACAGGCUCUGUGGAAAAGAAUCCUGAUAGCUUGCUAUAGAGGAGGAGCCCAUU